Long non-coding RNA from Drosophila navojoa, 174 nucleotides. The record is from RefSeq and is a predicted model, not a curated record. NCBI's taxonomy places the organism in Eukaryota, Metazoa, Arthropoda, Insecta, Diptera, Drosophilidae.
CGCUCGAUCAUGCGAAAAUUGUUAACUGGCUGGCUGCCCACAGUGAACUCGACACUGAAAGCGAGGUGGGAAUAUGAUAACAUUGACAGGAAACUAACCGAAACAUGUGCUCAAAGUUUCCAUAACAAAGGCGAAUGGAAACAAAGUUCGAAUCUCGGAAAAUGAAAACACAAA